Molecule: ribosomal RNA, 492 nt
Filed under: uncultured bacterium
Lineage: Bacteria
Description: partial 16S ribosomal RNA
Rfam family: Bacterial small subunit ribosomal RNA
Source: RNAcentral
GACGAACGCUGGCGGCGUGCUUAACACAUGCAAGUCGAACGGAAAGGCCUGCUUUCCCUUGUGGAUUGCGGGUACUCGAGUGGCGAACGGGUGAGUAACACGUGAGUGAUCUGCCCCCAACUUGGGUAUAAGCCUGGGAAACUGGGUCUAAUUCCCGAUAGGACUGCAGGGUGGUGCCUGUGGUGGAAAACGAUUUUCUAGUGGUUGGGGAUGAGCUCGCGGCCUAUCAGCUUGUUGGUUGGGUAAUGGCCUACCAAGGCGGCGACGGGCAGCCGGCCUGAGAUGGUGGACGGUCACAUUGGGACUGAGAUACGGCCCAGACUCCUACGGGAGGCAGCAGUGGGGAAUAUUGCACAAUGGGCGGAAGCCUGAUGCAGCGACGCCGCGUGGGGGAUGACGGCCUUCGGGUUGUAAACUCCUUUCGACCGCGAGGAAGCCACCUGGUUGGAAGGGUGGUGACGGUAGUGGGAGAAGAAGCACCGGCUAACUGCG